GAUGAACGCUAGCGGCAGGCCUAAUACAUGCAAGUCGAGGGGCAGCACGGUAGCAAUACUGGUGGCGACCGGCGCACGGGUGCGUAACGCGUAUGCAACUUACCCUUUACAGGGAGAUAGCCCGGAGAAAUUCGGAUUAAUAUCCCAUAGUAUAUAGAUUUGGCAUCAGAUUUAUAUUAAAGAUUUAUCGGUAAAGGAUGGGCAUGCGUGUCAUUAGCUAGUUGGUGAGGUAAUGGCUCACCAAGGCGACGAUGACUAGGGGUACUGAGAGGUUACACCCCCACACUGGUACUGAGACACGGACCAGACUCCUACGGGAGGCAGCAGUAAGGAAUAUUGGACAAUGGGCGAGAGCCUGAUCCAGCCAUGCCGCGUGCAGGAUGACGGUCCUAUGGAUUGUAAACUGCUUUUGUAUGGGAAUAAACCCAGAUACGUGUAUCUGGCUGAAUGUACCAUAAGAAUAAGGAUCGGCUAACUCCGUGCCAGCAG
RNAcentral lists this ribosomal RNA (489 nucleotides) under uncultured bacterium. RNAcentral describes it as "bacterial SSU rRNA". It matches the Rfam family "Bacterial small subunit ribosomal RNA", at positions 28 to 514 of the family's 1533-position model. The record is from RNAcentral.